AGGAUGAACGCUGGCGGCGUGCUUAACACAUGCAAGUCGAACGAUGAACUGGCGCUUGCGUCGGGGAUUAGUGGCGAACGGGUGAGUAACACGUGAGUAACCUGCCCUUAACUCUGGGAUAAGCCUGGGAAACUGGGUCUAAUACCGGAUAUUGACUUUUCACCGCAUGGUGUUUUGUUGAAAGCUUUAGUGGUUUUGGAUGGACUCGCGGCCUAUCAGCUUGUUGGUGAGGUAAUGGCUUACCAAGGCGACGACGGGUAGCCGGCCUGAGAGGGUGACCGGCCACACUGGGACUGAGACACGGCCCAGACUCCUACGGGAGGCAGCAGUGGGGAAUAUUGCACAAUGGGCGAAAGCCUGAUGCAGCGACGCCGCGUGAGGGAUGACGGCCUUCGGGUUGUAACCUCUUUCAGUAGGGAACAAGGCCACACGUUGUGUGGUUGAGGGUACUUGCAGAGAAGCGCCGGCUAACUACGUGCCAGCAGCCGCGGUAA
RNAcentral lists this ribosomal RNA (494 nucleotides) under uncultured bacterium. RNAcentral's name for it is "SSU rRNA". It matches the Rfam family "Bacterial small subunit ribosomal RNA", at positions 26 to 523 of the family's 1533-position model. The record is from RNAcentral.